Long non-coding RNA from Camelus dromedarius (Arabian camel), 914 nucleotides. RefSeq lists it as uncharacterized. Lineage: Eukaryota; Metazoa; Chordata; Mammalia; Artiodactyla; Camelidae. The record is from RefSeq and is a predicted model, not a curated record. The transcript is spliced from 3 exons.
UGUGGCAGGGCCGGGUUCCCCGUGAGUCCAGUGGAGGCUCCAAGGCCCAUGUCUGCCUGCACCCAAGGUUGUUCAGGAGCCAAGGAAAGGCAGUGACUGCAGGCUUGAGAGCCAUCACCGUUUCUGUGGUGGAACAGAGGAGAAGCAGUACUGUCACGGCAGGCCUGGGCUUCCAGAGACUCCCGUCCAGUGGUCACUCCACCUUCAAAGGUGCUUCAAACUCCCAGAUGGAUGGAGGCCCCGACUCCUCAGGAUCCUAUUCUUGCUCCCACCUGACUAGUGAGGAGAUGAGGCUCAGAGAGGCCAAGCAACAGUGUGGAUCUGGGAUCGGAACCCACAUCUUCCGUGGAAGCAGUUCUGGACAACCACGCCACACGUGUUUUUAAGCUCUUGGGCCACCGGGCCCUGCCAAUAAACACACAUGAUAAAGUCGAUUGGGCGAACCCUGUUAAUUGUGAGCUCUAUGAGGACUGAUAAAGUUCCUCUGAGAAAGACCCUGCUGCUGUCUUUGCCAGUGUUGGAGAUCUUUCCUUCUCCCUUCACAGUGUGUGCAACAUACACUCAGUUAUUCAUUCAACAAAAAUACCUUCAGCAUCUACACCGCACAUUGUGAUACUUGAAAUGCAGCUGCCAACGAAGCAGAUGGUCCCUGUGGAUGUGGAGGUUGGAGUUUCAUAGGGGACACAGUUGGUGAACAGCAGAGAGAGGCUCCCGGAACCUGAAUUUCCAAAGGAGACUUUGGCCAGCCCUGGGACUCGCCACUUGGUGUCCUCAGACAAGGGGAGUGAGAUAGGACGAGACUUUGGGGCCUCUGGCUUUCCCAGGAGGCUCAGGAAAGAGAUUGCUGGCAACAGACGGGAAUGCAGCCUGGCGCUUGAGUUGCAAUGGGUUUGGAACAAACACUAGAUUGAAAA